RNA transcript from Oncorhynchus keta (chum salmon), 10726 nucleotides. It is a transcript of the gene named polyamine-transporting ATPase 13A3-like, with no coding region annotated. The transcript is spliced from 33 exons. NCBI's taxonomy places the organism in Eukaryota, Metazoa, Chordata, Actinopteri, Salmoniformes, Salmonidae. The record is from RefSeq and is a predicted model, not a curated record.
UCAUUCGACGACUCAUUCGCUCGCUCUUCCACUGAGCUGUCAAACACGUUAGAUAUUAAAAUAUAGAUGGCCAGCUAGCUAAGGAACUAUUUGACUCUUCAACAACGUUUUCCCAUUUAACAAUAACUGUUCUCCUCUUACUAUGACUCUCAGGUGAUCUUCAGAGAGUCCAGGUGGUUCUGGGGUCCAGGUUCGUGUCGUGAGAGGGAGAGCUACAGAGGGGAGGAGGAACGUCUGGGGGCCUCGCUGCCCGGGUUCUCAAGCGGUGCUCAGUGGGCUUGGUGACUCAUCUGCAGAAUGGAGAAAGAAGACCUGAAGAUCGUGAACAAGGAUGAGGAGGAUGAGAUGGAGCUCCAGGGGUACCGUGUGUGUCGGUGGCGUGUGGCGGUGGUGGGUCUUUGGGUUCUCUGUACGGGGGGCUUCCUUCUGCUGCUGCUCUACUGGAUGCCAGAAUGGUGUGUGAAGGCCACCUGUAGCCGGACCACUGUCAGAGAGGCCGAAGUGGUGCUUCUCCAAUCCACUGAUGAGUUUAAGCGCUGGUUCCUAGCCAAGGUGCGAGUGAUGCUGGCCCCCGGGAGGAACCCCUUUGACAGCCUGGAGACCCAGACCACUCCCCCCAUGGCCAACGGACACUCCCCCCACUCCUCGAACAGCCCCACCCAGGAGUUCAACAGGAAGUACGCAGAGUACCAGCCCACUCAGAUUCGCUAUUUUACACUCCAUAGCACAAAGUACUACUGGAACGACGAGGUCCAGAAUUUUGAGGUGUUAACGGGCUUGGAAGACCUGGAGGUGACCUGUUCCAACAUCCACUCAGAGCACAGCACGGGGCUCACCAGCAACCAGCAGGAGUACAGGAGACUGUUUUUCGGAGUGAAUGAAAUUGCAGUGAAAGUGCCUUCAGUUUUCAAGCUGCUAAUCAAAGAGGUCCUCAACCCUUUCUACAUCUUCCAGCUCUUCAGUGUGAUCCUGUGGAGCGCCGACGAGUACUACUACUACGCCGUAGCCAUCGUCUUCAUGUCGGUCAUAUCCAUAGCUACCUCUCUGUACACCAUUAAAAAGCAAUACGUCAUGCUUCACGACAUGGUGGCAGCACACAGUAUUGUCCGUGUUUCAGUCUGCAGAGCCAACAACGACAUCGAGGAGGCCCUGUCCACUGACCUGGUGCCCGGCGAUGUCAUGGUCAUUCCUAGCAACGGGACCAUCAUGCCGUGCGAUGCGGUGCUGGUCAGCGGCACCUGCAUUGUCAACGAGAGCAUGCUGACAGGUGAGAGUGUGCCGGUCACCAAGACCAACCUCCCCAACCCAGGUGAGGGGGACAAGGAGGGUGACGGGGCCUACAGCAUGGAGGAGCACAAGAGACACACCCUCUUCUGUGGCACGCACAUCAUCCAGACCCGUUUCUACUCAGGGGAACUGGUCAAGGCAGUGGUGGUCCGCACAGGCUUCAGCACAGCUAAAGGCCAGCUGGUGCGCUCCAUCCUCUACCCCAAGCCCACGGACUUCAAGCUGUACCGUGACGCCUACCUCUUCCUGCUGUGCCUGGUGGCUAUAGCCGGUAUCGGCUUUGUCUACUCCAUUGUCCUCAGCAUCAUGAACAAGGUACCAGCCAAGACCAUCAUCAUCGAGUCCCUGGACAUCAUCACCAUCACCGUGCCCCCCGCGCUGCCUGCUGCCAUGACGGCGGGCAUCGUGUACGCCCAGCGCCGCCUCAAACGCAUCGGCAUCUUCUGCAUCAGCCCCCAGAGGAUCAACAUCUGUGGCCAGCUCAACCUGGUCUGCUUCGACAAGACGGGUACACUCACAGAGGAUGGACUAGAUUUAUGGGGAGUCCAGAGAGUGGAGAAUGGCUCUUUCCACCUGUCAGAGGAGAAUGCUUACAAGGAGAGUCUGGUCAAGUCCCAGUUUGUAGCCUGCAUGGCCACCUGCCACUCUCUUACCAAGAUUGAUGGCCAGCUGUCCGGAGACCCUCUGGACCUGAAGAUGUUUGAGGCCACAGGUUGGAUCCUGGAGGAGGCCACUGAGGAGGAGACCUCCCUCCACGACCGCAUCAUGCCCACCGUGGUGCGGCCCCCCAAGCAGCUGAUGCCCCCCGAGCCCGUUAUGUCACCCGAACAGGACAUGGAGCUGUAUGACUUGUCGUUGGCCUAUGAGAUUGGUAUUGUGCGUCAGUUCCCCUUCUCCUCGGCGCUGCAGAGGAUGUGUGUGGUAGCCCGUCUGCUGGGGGAGAAGCGCAUGGAUGCCUACCUCAAGGGGGCACCCGAGGUGGUGGCCAGCCUCUGCAAGAAAGACACUGUUCCAGAGGACUUUGCGGAUGUUCUGGAGGACUACACCAAGCAGGGCUUCCGGGUCAUCGCCCUGGCCCACCGCCGCCUCGAGUCCAAACUCACCUGGCACAAAGUCCAGAACGUCAACAGGGACCAGAUGGAGGCCAACAUGGAGUUCCUGGGGCUGAUCAUCAUGCAGAACAAGCUGAAGGCUGAGACCGCCGGGGUACUGGAGGACCUCCGCAGGGCACACAUCCGCACCGUCAUGGUCACUGGUGACAACAUGUUGACGGCCAUCUCAGUGGCCAGGGACUGUGGCAUGAUCCCCCCUCAGGACCGGGUCAUCAUCGCUGACGCGCUGCCCUCCAAAGAUGGUCAGUCGGCCAAGAUCAACUGGCGCUACGCAGACAAACCCAGCAAACAUGUGGGCAAAGCCCCACGUCUGGAGGAAAUAGAGAUCAGUCUAGAGGAUGUAUGUCACACUGACGAGCCCACGUCUCAGGACCAGUACCACUUCGCCAUGAGUGGCAAGUCCUUUGCUGUCAUCUCUGAGCACUUUCAGGAUGUGCUGCAGAAGUUGGUGCUGCGUGGGACAGUGUUUGCCCGAAUGGCCCCCGACCAGAAGACCCAGCUCAUUGAAGCACUGCAGAGUGUGGACUAUUUUGUGGGCAUGUGUGGAGAUGGCGCAAAUGAUUGUGGUGCUUUGAAGAGGGCUCAUGGUGGGAUCUCUCUCUCCGAGCUGGAGGCCUCUGUAGCCUCUCCCUUCACCUCCAGGACCCCCAACAUCUCCUGUGUGCCCAGCCUCAUCAGAGAAGGGCGAGCGGCUCUCAUCACAUCCUUCUGUGUGUUCAAGUUCAUGGCCCUCUACAGCAUCAUCCAGUACAUCAGUGUCACCCUGCUCUACUCUAUCCUCAGUAAUCUGGGAGACUUCCAGUUCCUCUUUAUCGACAUCGCUAUCAUCCUCCUGAUCGUCUUCACCAUGUCUCUGAACCCAGCGUGGAAGGAGCUGGUGUCGAGGCGUCCCCCCUCAGGUCUGAUCUCAGGCCCUCUGCUGUUCUCCGUACUGACUCAGAUCCUCAUCUGUCUGGGCUUCCAGACCAUCGCUUUCCUCUGGGUCCGACACCAGGCCUGGUACGACAUCUGGACGCCAGAGUCUGAUGCCUGCAACUCGUCCCCCCAUGCCAACUUCUCCCCGAAGCACAACUCCUCUGAGGACGACCACAACAUCAAGAACUACGAGAACACCUCCCUGUUCUAUGUCUCCUCCUUCCAGUACCUCAUCGUGGCCAUUGUCUUUUCCAAGGGGAAGCCCUUCAGACAGCCCAGCUACAAAAACUGGCCCUUCGUGGUGUCAUGUAUUGGCUUAUACAUAUUUCUGUUCUUCAUCAUGUUCUACCCUGUGUCUGCUAUCGAUGAAUUCCUAGAGAUUGUGUGUGUUCCAUUUGAAUGGAGAAUCGCUCUGUUCUUCAUCAUCGUAGUCAAUGCAGCCGUGUCUGUCUUGGCGGAGACCCUCGUCCUUGACGUCGUCUUAUGGAAGCUUGUGUUCAGCCGAGACAAGCAGGGCAGCUAUGGCACCACCCCCGCCACCCCGACAACACAGGGUGGCAUAGACCUCUGGGGACCCAAGUGUCUGUCGUGGCUGUGCUGCCGGCAGAGGAAGGUACCCAAGGCACUCUACAUGCACCUGGCCCAGGAGCUGAGCGUGGACCCCGACUGGCCUCCCAAACCCACCACCACCACCGAAGCCAAUCCCCCGCCGCCCGGCAACACCCCAGAAAACUGCUCCUCCUGCCAGAUCAUGGCCGAUUCCUAGCACCCCCCCGCCCCCGAUCUUGCUAAAGCAGAUAUACAUACACGACCAAAAGGACAAACUGUUGUCUAUGAAAAGGAUGAGGCGAAAGACUAUGAAAGAUGGGGUGAUGGUAAAAAUGGUUUGUGGGAUGGACAAAUGGGAGUGUCCAGGUAUCUGGUCUCUCCAUGCUCUUUGCUGCUCAGAUCCAUCACAGUGUUCAGAACCUGGCGAGUCUACAUAAGCCCCACCAACCAAACCCCUCAACCUGCCACCACCCCCUGGUCUACAAAGUUGUAGUUGCUGCUGCCGUGAUUCCUAAAGAGGCUCAAGAUCUUCUCCCAUUGCUUUUGUUUGUAAGCAGCCACCAGACAUCUCCACUAGGGUGGUUAUCAUCAUACAGGAGACUCGAAGCAUGGAUGUGCAUGAACCCAGCUCCAUAUAGCCAUUGUUACAUGGUGGUUGGAACACUACUGCUUACACCCAACAGUACUGUAAUCUUAUUAUUGCUGAACCAGAACCUUUUUGUAUAAUGAAACAGUAUGUGCGCAGAAGAGGCAGCAUGUAAACGGCUUGGAAUCAUGUGUAGCAGCACCCCCCCCCGUAUAUAGAAACCAUCCAUAGGCGAAUAGACUUGCAAAAUCGUGUCAAACUGGCCUCACAUGGGCUAGCAUUGCUCCUCAUAAAAACUGUCCUUGGAAGGAAAAAAAAUUGAUCAUGUAUUGCAUUUCUUCCCAUGGAAGAAGAAACAAGGUAUGAUAAUGGCAUUGUGAAAUUCAUUAGCUAGCUGUAUGCUCUCUCCAUACAGCCGUGCAACUGGCAACACACACUGUACUACCGAUACACACUGCGCAAUAGCCAUAAUAGCAUGCAUGUAUAACCACUGCACAGUCAAAAGAGAAAUCAAAGGGCUAAUACUCAUUGUCCAUGAGAGGAAGCUGCUGGGUGGAGAUCUAGGAUGACAGGCUCAAAUCAAAUACAAUCUAAUUUCAUUUGUCACAUGCUUCUUAAACAACCGGUGUAGACUGAGUGAAAUUAUUAUGAAAUUACUUCCGGGUCCUUUGCCAACAAUGCAGAGUUAAAGAUAAAAAAUAAUUACAAUAGAAAUACUAACAAGGAAUAAAUACGAAUAACAAUAACAAGUAACAAAACAUUGCUAUGUUCAGGAAGUACCGUGCAGGAGUACAAGGUAAUUGAGGUCGAUAUGCACAUCAAGUAGGUGUAAAGUGACUAGGCAACAGGAUAGAUAAGACCGUAGCAGCAGAGUAUGUGGUGAGUGUGAAAGUGUGUGUGGCAUCAGUAUGCAUGUGUGCCCGAGUUUGUGGGUGUGUGAUUGUGUAGGUAGAUUCCAGUGUGUGUGCAUCGAGUUCAUGCAUAGUUAGUGCAGAAAAGGGUCAAUGCCGGAAGUCCAGGUAGCCAUUUCCUUAUCUAUUUACCAGUCUUGUUUAGCAGUAGUGCUAAGCGAUUAGUGUUUUUUUGGAGGUUGUUUCGGUUCGAUUAUUAAAAAAUAAUCACGGUUUUAGGUUGUGAUUAUUUGGGUUAAAUGCUGCCCAUUUACUGCUGAUCACUUAUUAACCAUUUAUUCACAUUACUUUAAUAUUAAAUAUAUUUUGUAUUACAUUUGUUUUAUUUGAUGACUUUAUUUCAUUACAAGUCAUCAUCUCAUGUCUAUAGAGCUGUUGUCUGACAAAAUCACUAUUCUGUAGCUCGUCAAAGUAAAUAAUAUUUAUGACUGCUGAAUAACAACAAUCAAUCACUUUGAUCAUGUAUUUUCUGGUAGGGAUACCUCACGAAGCAACAGCUGCUCUGUCACCUCACGAUCGUGCAUUCUUGUCUCUUCCUGUAGCAGGCGUAAAAGAAACAUAGACCGGACAAGUAGAUGCGCAAUGGAUUAUGGUCAUUGUAGUUAAUUAACAUGUUAUAUGCACUAAACUAUGUAGAAUACUGGCCUGCUGGAAACUACAUCGCACAGUUCAGGCCGGAUCUGAUUUAUCUCGAGAGAAACUGUAGAAUGUGCUCAUUGAGCAUACAGAAAAAAAAAUAACAGAAUGGAAUUCAAAUAAUUGAACCAACUUCAGCCAAUUAGUUGCUUAAAACAACGAAAAAUAAACUUAAUUGCUCAGCAAUAUUUAGUGGUCUUAUGGCUUGGGGGUAGAAGCUGUUCAGGGUCCUGUUGGUUCCAGACUUUGUGCACACUGGCACUGCUUGCUGUGAGGUAGCAGAGAGAACAGUCUAAAACAUGUGAUAAAAAAUUCUGAAUGUGCUUGAUACCAUUUAAUUCUAAUUCCAUUACAAUGAGCCAAUCCUAUACCUCUGCCACCAUUGUUGUCCAUAUACUCGAAGAUACAGUGCACAAACAUGCACACACACACACACACACACAAACACACUCUGUCGCGAUUCAUAUAUUCUCAACAGCUAAAUUGGUUCACAUUAUUUCAUAACAUAAAAUGUACUAUGUGCAUUGCUGUCCACCCUCGUGUGUUCACCAUAUUGUAGAUGUCGUAUUCUCUGCCGGACAGUUGUACUAUAAGCCAGUCUUUCUCCUCAUAGUAGCAGAUUAGGUAUCGUCAGAGAUCCUAGUUUGUGUUCAUCCAAAAUGUGUUUCAGAAUUGUCAGAAACACGGUACUGAGAGAUACCGCUAGAAUGCUUGUUCAAAUCAAAAAUAAUUUUAGACAGAAUGACAUGUUAAGACAGUGUUAAUUUAUUCUGUUUUUUUCUGCAUCAAUCACUUUUGUUUAUUUUUUAAAGAUUCAUAUUUAAAUUUCAAGAAUAACAAACGGUUGUUACUUACAAUGUUCUAGUUAUACAUAAUUACCAGAUCAACCCUUUCAGAUCUCUAUUGUUAAUGUUAAUGAUUUCCUGUGUGUUGGUAGGUAGUAUGGCAGGUCCUACGGGCCCUAGUUUUGUCGCACCAGGACUACUGCUCAGUUGUGGUCAGGUGCCACAAAAAAGUGCAACUGGUUCAGAACAGGGCAGCACGGCUGGUCCUUGGAUAUACACAGAGGGCUAAUAUUAAUAAUAUGCAUGUCAAUCUCUCCUGGCUCAAAGUGGAGGAGAGCAUGCUUGUAUUUGAAUGCACCAAGCUGUCUGUUUGAACUACUGGCGCACAGCUCAGACACCCAUGCAUACCCCACAAGACAUGACACGAGGUCUCGUCACAGUCCCCAAGUCCAGAACAGGCUAUGGAAGGUGCACAGUACUAAAUAGAGCCAUGACUACAUGGAACUCUAUUCCAUGUCAAGCAACUCAUGCAUGCAGUCAAAUUAGAUUUUUAAAAACAGAUUUAAAAAACGCCUUAUGGAACAGCGGGGACUAUGAAGCAACACAAACAUAGGUGCGUACACACGUACACAUGGAUUUUGUACUGUAUAUAUGUGGUAGUGGUGGAGUAGGGGGCUGAGGGCACACAGUCUGAAUGUAUUGUAAUGUUUUUAAAAUUGUAUAAACUGCCUUAAUUUUGCUGGACCCCAGGAAGAGUAGCUGGCAGCAGCUAAUGGGGAUCCAUAAUAAAUACAAAAUAUGAUAAAGGUGUAUACAAUGCACACUAAAGAGCAUUUUCCAGAAAUACCGGUCAUUGAUUGACGAUAUGACCAGGGGCAAUAGUACAUCCUUAUGUGCCAAUUUACAUGACUGAACCAACUCUAUGAUUGAAUCCAGUUUUGCUUUUAGUAAGGGUAUUUUUACUAAAUGUUUCUGAAGAAUUAUUCAUGUUGGUUAUUGUUAUUUUCUUCUGUUCAGGGGAUCUUUCCUAAAUAUCUGUAGAAGACUCCAAUUAUUUUAUUUAAAUGUGGCAUUUAGUUCAAUUCAAAAUCAAAUGUUAGUUUUGUUGAAUGAUUAUAUAAAACAAACCAUAUUUUGUCUUUCCCAAAGAGUAAAGAACAUUUUAAUCAAUGUUCAAAUGGUUGUAAACAAGUAAUAUCUGUUUCCAGAUCGGUCCAAAAAGCCGAAAUCCAAAUUAGACUGGAAUAUUAUGUGUACAUUUACAGUAUUUGUGUUAAAAUUUAGCUUAAAUAUUGUUUAGAGAUGUGCUUGAAGUCUGAAGUCUGUAUUUUUCAUUCAUCUAAGGGCUGUAGUGUUGCUUUCGAAUCUCUAUUUGUGGUACUGUUUUGUCACGAUCAGUUGUCUGUACACUUUUCUUUUUUAGCUGAACAGCAACUCUGUGUUCAUCUUUCUGAAUUAGACAUGAUUCUAUUGGGCAUUUCUAUAAUUUUUAUUUAAGCCAAUGAUGAGGUGCGAUUGUCUAGGGCCAGAAGUUAUUUCUGACCUUGUGACCUAACCAGGAAAAACUGAGCUGUAGUUAUACUUUUAAAGCCUGGAAUGUUGCUUGGUGAGGUGUGAAACUGCUUGCCCUACAACCAAUAUCUAGUCAUGUGAGGAAUAUAUCUUGUCAGUACUCUGAAAACAGUUACUAUUAAUCUAAUGAUUGAAAUAAGGGAUUCCAUAUAAUAUCCAGUGCCUUCAGAAAGUCCCACCCCUUUACUUCUACACACAAUACCCCAUGAUGUCAAAUGUUGUUUUUUUUAGAAUUUAUUUGACAAAUUAAUUAAAAAUGAAAAUCUGAAAUGUCUUGAGUCAACUAUUCAACCCAUUUCAUAUGGCAAGCCUAAAUACGUACAGGAGUACAAAUGUGCUUAAGUUGCAUGCAAUAAUAGUGGUUAACAUUAAUUGUUGAAUGACUACCCCACACAUACAAUUAUCUGGAAGGUCCCUCAGUUCAAAAGUAAUUUUCAAGCACAGAUUCAACCACAAAGACCAGGGAGGUUUUCCAAUGCCUCACAAAGUAGGGCACCUAUUGGUAGAAAACAAAAAGCAGACGAUAUUUGAGGGUGGUGAAGUUAUUAAUUACACUUUGGAUGGUGUAUAAAUACACCCAGUCACUACAAAGAUGCAGGUGUUCUUCCUAUCUCUGUAGCCGGAGAGGAAGGAAACCGCUCAGGGAUUUCGCCAUGAGACCAAUACUGAUUUUUAAAAUUGUUAGAUUUUAAUGGCUGUGGUGGGAGAACUGAGGAUGGAUCAACAACAUUGUAGUUACUCAACAAUACUAACUUAAUUGACAGAGGUUAAUUAAAAAAAGGAAGCCUGUACAGAAUAAAAACAUUCAAAAACAUACAUCCUGUUUGCAACAAGGCACUGAAGCAAUACUGCAAAACACUUGGUAAAGAACUUUUUGACCUAAAUACAAAGUGUUUUGUUUGAUGCAAAUCCAGCACAUCACUGAGUACCACACUUCAUAUUUUCAAGCAUGGUGGUGGCUGCAUCAUGUUAGGGUAUGCUUGUCAUUGGUGAAGACCAGGGAGUUAAUUAGGAUCCAGAUAAAUGGACUAGAGCUAAGCACAGGCAAAAUCCUAGAGGAAAACCUGAUUUGCUUUCCUGGGAGACAAAUUCACCUGUCAACAAUAACCUAAAAAACAAAGCCAAAUAUACACUGCAGUUGCUUACCAAGACAACAUUGAAUGUUCCUGAUUGGAUUAGUUACAGUUUUGACUUAAAUCUGCUUGAAAAUCUAUGGCAGGACUUGAAAAUGGCUGUCCAGCAAUCAUCAACAACCAAUUUGACAGAGCUUGAAGAAUUUUAAAUGGCAUAAUAGGCUAAUAUUGUACAAGCCAGGUAUGCAAAGCUGUUAGACUUACCCCAAAACACUCACAGCUGUAACUGCUGCCGAAGGUGAUUCUAACAUGUAUUAAAUACUUAUCUAAUCAAUAAAUAUUUGUUCUAUUUUUCAUAAAUAUAUCAUUUUUCUUCCACUUUGACAGAGUAUUGUGUGUGGAUCGUUGACCCAAAAACUCCCAACAAAAAUGUGUAAAAAGUAAAUGGGUGUGAAUACUUUCUGAAGGCAUUGUAUUGGUACCUCAGUUUGACAAAUAUUGUUUCUGGGCAGAAAUAUUCUGACAAUCGUUGAAUGUUCGUUUUCACUAGCACCUGGCACCUAAAAUAUGUAAAUGAUGCUUUGAGUUUUUAUACACAGUCUGUAUGUAAAAUCACAAUGUACACGCUGAAGAGUGUGCAUUGCUGUGGAUAUCACAACCCCUCUCCUCUAGAGAGGAUUGUUUUGCUGCUAGGGGAAUGAUUCUCUCAACUGUCAUAACCAUGCACCUUAAUGCUUCAACUUUGAAUCAAUAAUGAUAACCCUAAAACUUAAAAAUUGUUAUUCUGAUAAAUGAUAGUUUACCCAGAUACGGCUAUAUCAUAGCAAUGAAGUGUAUGCUGAAACUCUAUGCUCUUAAAAGGUACAUUAUACCGAUUGUUGACAUCUGUAAUCACCUGUUUUUUAUUAUUAAGUGUUUGAAACAAAUCAUUGAGGCAUUUAGAACAUAUCAGCCACUGAGUCUGUAGAACUUCCAGUGGAAUUGUUUCCUCAGGGAAAUGUGUGUAUUUGUUACGUAUAGAGAAUUAUAAUAAAGUUAAUACCUAACUGAAUGCAAAACCAAGCCUGUUGGUUAACAUUUUAUUACAAUUUUCUAUGUCUUUGUUUGUGUGUAGAUUGUUGCCACAAAAUCUAAUCUCCCAACCCUCAGUAAGAUUCUUCUCUGGAAAUGUUUCUGUUUUUUGUUGCAGAGAUGUAGAUUGCUUGUAAUUUAUAUAUAUUUUUUCUUUACUAAGGAUUGUUUCUAAUUUCUUUAGAUUUCUUUUGAUUGUCUUUUCAAUAAAUGCGGUCUUCAAAAAAAA